UACAGCGGAGAGUUUGAUCCUGGCUCAGGAUGAACGCUAGCGGCAGGCCUAACACAUGCAAGUCGAGGGGCAUCGCGGUGCAGCAAUGCACUGGCGGCGA
RNAcentral lists this ribosomal RNA (100 nucleotides) under Bacteroidales bacterium. Its description in RNAcentral is "partial 16S ribosomal RNA". It matches the Rfam family "Bacterial small subunit ribosomal RNA", at positions 1 to 104 of the family's 1533-position model. Lineage: Bacteria; Pseudomonadati; Bacteroidota; Bacteroidia; Bacteroidales. The record is from RNAcentral.